GAUCAAGUUACCAAGGGCGUACGGUGGAUGUCUAGGCGUUGAGAGGCGAUGAAGGACGUGGGAACCUGCGAUAAGCCCAGAGGAGCUGGUAACCGAGCGUUGAUCCUGGGAUUUCCGAAUGGGGCAACCCGGUCCCGCCACUAAAUCGGUUUUGAGCGGUCGAAACACCGGCCAAUGCAUAGACCGAUCUAGUGGCGGGAUCACCUACGCCUGAAUGCAUAGGGCGUGGGGGCGAACCUGGCGAACUGAAACAUCUCAGUAGCCAGAGGAAAAGAAAGCAAACGCGAUUCCGUCGGUAGCGGCGAGCGAAAGCGGAACAGCCCAAACCGUCCCGACUUGUCGGGGCGGGGUUGCGGGCGCCAAUGUGGCACGCUUGAUCAACCUGUGAAUCGUUCAGGAAAGCCGAACCAAAGAAGGUGACAGUCCUGUAGCAGGUGGUGACAGCGGCCUAGGCGUACCAGAGUAGCACGGGGCUCGUGGAACUCUGUGUGAAACUGGGGGGUCCACCCUCCAAGGCUAAAUACUCCUCAACGACCGAUAGUGAACCAGUAAGGCGACUGAAUGAUGAAAAGAACCCCGAUAAGGGGAGUGAAAAGUACCUGAAACCGUAUGCCUACAAGCAGUCGGAGCCGGCCGUCUCCUUGCGAGACGGUGGGUGACGGCGUGCCUCUUGCAUAAUGAGCUGACGAGUUGCUCUCUGUGGCCAGGCUAAGCUGCUUCCCAGCGGAGCCGAAGGGAAACCGAGUCUUAAAUGGGCGUGUAGUCGCAGGGGGCAGACGCGAAACCGAGUGAUCUACCCAUGGGCAGGUUGAAGAGGGGGUAAUGCCCCUUGGAGGACCGAACGCACCAACGUUGAAAAGUUGGGCGAUGACCUGUGGGGAGGAGUAAAAGUCUAAUCAUACUCGGAGAUAUCUCGUUCUCCUCGAAAUAGCUUUAGGGCUAGCCUCACGUUACACCGCACGGGGGUAGAGCGACUGGAUGGGGCUGGGGGGCCACAAGCCUACCCAC
Molecule: ribosomal RNA, 1008 nt
Filed under: Planctomycetota bacterium
Lineage: Bacteria; Pseudomonadati; Planctomycetota
Description: partial 23S ribosomal RNA
Rfam family: Bacterial large subunit ribosomal RNA
Source: RNAcentral